Molecule: ribosomal RNA, 253 nt
Filed under: uncultured bacterium
Lineage: Bacteria
Description: partial 16S ribosomal RNA
Rfam family: Bacterial small subunit ribosomal RNA
Source: RNAcentral
CACGGGGGGAGCAAGCGUUGUUCGGAAUCACUGGGCGUAAAGCGCGUGUAGGCGGCCAAGUAAGUGGGAUGUGAAAUCCCCCGGCUUACCCGGGGACCUGCAUCUCAUACUGCUUGGCUUGAGUAUGGGAGAGGAUGAGGGAAUUCCUGGUGUAGCGGUGAAAUGCGCAGAUAUCAGGAGGAACACCAAUGGCGAAGGCAGCUCGCUGGGACGUGACUGACGCUGAGACGCGAAAGCGUGGGGAGCAAACAGG